GACGAACGCUGGCGGCGUGCUUAACACAUGCAAGUCGAACGGAAAGGCCCUGCUUUUGUGGGGUGCUCGAGUGGCGAACGGGUGAGUAACACGUGAGUAACCUGCCCUUGACUUUGGGAUAACUUCAGGAAACUGGGGCUAAUACCGGAUAGGAGCUCCUGCUGCAUGGUGGGGGUUGGAACGUUUCGGCGGUUGGGGAUGGACUCGCGGCUUAUCAGCUUGUUGGUGGGGUAGUGGCUUACCAAGGCUUUGACCGGUAGCCGGCCUGAGAGGGUGACCGGCCACAUUGGGACUGAGAUGCGGCCCAGACUCCUACGGGAGGCAGCAGUGGGGAAUAUUGCACAAUGGGCGGAAGCCUGAUGCAGCAACGCCGCGUGCGGGAUGACGGCCUUCGGGUUGUAAACCGCUUUCGCCUGUGACGAAGCGUGAGUGACGGUAAUGGGUAAAGAAGCACCGGCUAACUACGUG
This 468-nucleotide ribosomal RNA is filed under the name uncultured bacterium. RNAcentral describes it as "partial 16S ribosomal RNA". It matches the Rfam family "Bacterial small subunit ribosomal RNA", at positions 28 to 507 of the family's 1533-position model. The record is from RNAcentral.